This 8664-nucleotide long non-coding RNA is filed under the name Homo sapiens (human). RNAcentral's name for it is "non-protein coding lnc-OCIAD2-8:2". The record is from RNAcentral. Lineage: Eukaryota; Metazoa; Chordata; Mammalia; Primates; Hominidae.
GGUCUGCUGCGGGCAUGUCCAGGCAAGACAAGUCCAGGUUCCCUUAUCUGCACAUAACAUCUGGUGUAAACACUUGUGGGGCUGGUUGGAGAUUCUCCGGGGACCCUUCCGUAUCUGCCUAGGCAUUUUGCUGUCUCCUCCUAAUACGGAACAAGCACAAUAUAAAAAACAAUUAGAGCAGUUAAACAAGGAUAUAAUACAGCUUCACUAAAUAAGAAGGAACUCACACUUAAAGAUGUGGAACGUAAAUUCUACAAAAUGAAAACUGCUUAUGAAGACGUUACAACUGAGUUAGAAGAAUAUAAGGAAGCCUUUGCAGCAGCAUUGAAAGCUAACAGUUCCAUGUCAAAAAAAUUAACUAAAUCGAAUAAGAAAAUAGCAAUGAUCAGUAUCAGCUCUUUAUGGAGAAAGAGCAGGUGAAAUAUUUUCUCAGCACUCUUCCUACAAGGCGAGGUCGAGAGUCACCUUGUGUUGAAAAUCUUACUAGUAUAGGACUCAACAGAAAAUAUAUUCCCCAAAUGCCCAUAAGAAUUCCUACUUCAAACCGUCAGACUUCAAAUAACUGCCAGAACUACUUGACUGAGAUGGAGCCGGACUGUGUAGAACAAAUAAUUAGAGAAACAAAGAGAACUGCUGCUGUGUCGGACACUUGCUCCCAUCUACUUUCUUCUCUAGAAUCCACGGGUAAGCCACAUCUAACGAAGAGAAUAUUUAACCAUAAAGUCUUAAAGAAAAAUUGUAUGAUUUAAAAGAUUAUAAAACUUUAUUACUGGGCUAUUUACACAUUUUAGUUGUUUCUCAUAAAAUGUAUAACAUUACAAUAUUUACUGAAGUAGGAUAUUUUUGUAUGAUAUAUAUGAUGAUAAUUUAUAGGGUAUUUUAAAUGAUGUUUUUUAGCCUCCUUAAGUUUUAAGUGGAUCUUGCAAAUGAAAACCAGUAUUAUUGAGUUUGACAUACUCAAAUUGCCCAAAUGUCAGCUGUUUAAACAACCAAGUCAUCAUUGAUACUUUAGUAAAGGUUAGUAAAGGUCAUCAAAGUCUUAUUUGCAUUUUACAGUUUUUAUUACUUAGGAGACUUAAGGAGUACCUGCCAGGUUUGUCCAUGCUAAUGUUAUGAUUUUCUUUUUGUAGUUCAACCGUAUUUUGUAUGGAGAUACUUUGAGGCUCUGUAAAUAUCUUGUUACUCCUCAGAACCCACUAGAUUUAGCAUUUCAUGAUGACUUGUGUUUGAACAAUUAUUACUUUGAUGGAUGCCAGAUGAUUAUUUUCCUAUUGUCUUCUUUGUUCUACAUGGAGAAAUAAAACCAAUAAAUAAGGGAGAAGGAAAGCUCUUGAUUCUGAUGCUUCAAUUCCCCAAGAUUAGGCCAGUAGUAGACAUUCCAAGCUGACUUUAUGUCUCUUUGAUUUGUCUCCGUUACUCUGUCAGCACUUUUUUAAUUUCUGGCAGAAGAUGUUCUAAGCUCAUCUUGUAUUUUCUCUGCCCCAGCUCUGGAAUGAGUAAUUUUUUUUAGAAGCAGAGGUGGAGCCAAUGAGGAAGCACAGGUGAGCCCUCCCCAGUGUGUACUCACUGGUCCCCAACAGAAGAACCGCUGCCACAUCCACUGAGGUACCAGGAAACUAGCAAAGAGCCUUCUGGCUGUCUGGAGAGAGUCCUCAUGUGGUCCCUGGCUGAGCCUCAGAGGUUCUGGAUUAGUCUUCCUGUAGCCUCUGUGUUGUGUCUUUAGAUCGGGGCUAUAUGGGAAGGGCCCUGGGAGACCCAACAGCACAGUGUGUCUCAUCUGCCAAACGUCCCUCCCUUCCUCACACUCUGACACUCAGGAAUAGGGUAGAUGGUGUGUCCAGGCAGUGUCAGGCCACCUCACUUUCUCCUUUGAGACGGCCCAGAGGGCCUUUGGUGUGAGUGUGGAGCUGGGAACCUGGAGCCUGAGGCCAACUGUCUCUCCCUGUGUCUUGGAGGAAAGGCCAUGUCUCAAAAAAACCCCCAGGGCCUGACCUCUGGGCACACAUGCAGGGAGGGAGGGUCUAUGAGCUGAGGGGGACAUUGUAAUGAGACUUUGAGCCCCGUUGCUCAAGGGCCUGGUCAGUGGACCAUGGUCAGAGAUGACCUGGUCAUCAGGACCUAGUCAUGUGGGACCUGAUCAGCAGGGGCCUGGUUAGUGGCGGCCUCCUCAGUAAAGGCCUCAUCAGUGGGGACCUGGUGACCUAAUCAUUGGAAGCCUGGUCAGUGGGGGGACCUAGUCAGUGGUGGCCUUAUUAGUGGGGCCUGAUCAGUUGGAACAUAAACAAUGAAAAACUGGUUGGUGAGGCAUAUACAGUAUACCAGAGGCCUGGUCAGUGUGGGGCCUUAGUGGCUUGGAACCUGGUCAAUGAGGGCCUGGUCAGAGGGGGCUCGGUCAGCUAGGGACUCAUCCAUGGAGAAUUGUUUAGUGGGGGGUCGGGUCAGCAGCAACCUGGUAAAUUGUGGUCUUGUCAGUGGGAACCCGGUCUUGUCAGUGGGGACCAGGUCAGUGGAAAAUUGGUCAGUGGGGUCUGGUCCAUGAGGCCUAUUAAGUGUGGGCCUGGUUAGGAAGACAUGGUCAGCGGGGACUUGAUCAGUGGGACCUGGUCAAUGGAGGAGUGGUCAUUAGGGGCCUCAUCACUCAUCACUGGGAACCUGGUCAGGGAUGAUUCGUCAGUACGUGGCCUGCUGGCCACUAUUGGACCUUAGGCAGGGGGCUUUUCUCUGUCACCUCCUUGCCUCCAUCUGCAGGGAAGGUGAGUCAGGGCACCCUAGAGGGUGGCUGGAAAGAGAAGGUGAGAAGAUGUGUUGAAUCCAAUACUGCUUGACAAACCUACAACUUUACAAAUGACCUGUGUUCCACCUAGAGAGGGUGCCAGCCCUCUCAGCAGUAUGCAGUGCCUCUCUUCUGUCUACAUCCCCAGGACCACCAUGGGUGGGGAGGGCAGAGAUUGGGGAGCACCUAUAGAGGCUCUAAUGCUCUAAGGUGACAGUGAUGAGGACCUGGGUGCACCCAUGGGUGGAGAAGCUAGGCCUGUCCAGAGAAGCAAGACAAACACACACAUACACGCGCACACACACACAGGCACACAUGCGUACACAAACACAUUGUAUAUACACAUGUCAGUUCAGGGGAUAGAGGACACUGACUCUGAGCCCUGUUGACCCAAGCAGGCUCCCGUUGUGGUGGGUUGUCAACCCACAACAUCACUCUUCCUGAGUCCCCAUCGCCUCUGUGUUGUGGAGAAGUUAGAGACACACAGCAGUGUCUGUGAGUAGCUCUGCAUGAAGGACCAUUUUCUAGAUGACAGACACAUCUCAACACAGCUCACUGAUCAGACUCAGCAAUUCCAUUCUGCAUUUUUCUCAUCACCCCCCUGACCACCCAGGACAACCCCAUCAGGGCCCUGUCACCAGGCCCAGUCCAGCUCCAUGAUAACCAAGACACAGGUCCAGAGACUACCGUCCUGCAUCGUGCCUGCAUCUGAUCCCCCUUGGUGGGUAGUGACCAGCACAACAUGGAAGAAGCCAGGGCAGCAUGCAGCUCUGCAGCCCCAGAUGGCUCCUGGGCCUUGGGAAGUCAUUCUUAAAAGGGAAGCUGGUCACUUUGAGGUCCCUGAAAGGAAGGGUGAACGUGCAUCCCAAAAGCCCUGGCAGCCGGCAGCCAGCAGCCAGCAGCAUGGCAUACAUCUUCUCACCCAACCUGUGUGACAGAGGCCCCCUCCUGGGGCACAAGUCCCAUACCUAAAGCAUCCUGUCCCAGUCGGACCUCAUCCUGAGCCCUGGGAGGGGAGGGGCACCAUGGGUUCCCUGCAGCAGCCAGGAUUACCACCCAGGGGACUCGGCCUUCUGUGGCCCUGGCCAGACUUAGAAUUUGGCCCAAGACAAGCUUACUCGGAGCAACUUCUCAGUACCUGGGGCCUGUGCAUGCCAGGCAAGGACAAGCUGGCUCAAAGAGCAACCAGCUACCUCUGCAAGGGUGUGCCAGGAGCAGGUGGAGCAGUCACCAACCUCACCCACUCAAGGAAACAGGGAUGGCCAGGUUCCCACAGUCUGAAUGACCACCACCUGACAGCUGAUGGAGUGGAGGCCUGAGGAAAAGCAGAUGGCACUGGGGCUCUACCUCCAGGGCAGAGUAACUGAUUUACCCUGGCUGGCAGGGAGUGACGUUGGUGGCUGGUCUAUCAGCUCUUGGCACACCCUUGCAGAGGUGGCUGGUUGCUCUUUGAGCCAGCUUGGCUUUGCCUGGGAUGAAUAGGACUCAGUGCAACAAAUGUGCUGCAAAUGGAGCCACAUAGAGGAAAGGAGCAGCAGGCUCAGGAGCGGGGUGUGUGCCACCUUUGGGGCUCCAGUCCAUGCAUAGGGGCUUCUACAGCACUGUGGGCUUCUCAGGUGCCAAGAGGCAGAACACAGGCCAUCUGGAGGAUGACUCUGGUAAGAGCUUCCUUGGGUAUGUAGAUGAUGUCCAGAAUGUUGGCCUGGUGUCCCUGAGACAGCACUAACAGGUCCAUGACUGGGUCCAGGUCCUGCCUGGGCUGAUUGGCAAAGAGCUCAUUGACAGUGUGGAAUGCAUCUAUGGUGAAGUGGAUCUGUGUUCAAGUGCAGAAAGGGCCCAAUCUGGUAGAUGAACCACACAACCAGCGUCUGGGUGCAGGCACAGUGCCACAUUUUUUGUCACUUCCUGAUGUACCCCACCAGCACUGAAGAGACAGCCUGGAGACAGGGCAAGAGGAAGGCUGAGAAGGAUGAGAUGGUGAGUGCCAGAUUCUUCCUGGCCCUGAGCCCUCCCUCAGAGUGACACUCAACCUUUAGGAGUGGGAGAGCAAGAUUGACGGCUUCAAGUGCUUCACCAAGAAGAUGGACAACAGGGCUCUCAGGUCAACUUCACAGCCAAUGAGUGGUGACAGGCUUUAAGAAAGAGCAUCUUCCACAUUGUCAGUGAGCUCUUUGCCAAUCAGUCCAGGCAGGACCCCGACCCAGCCAUGGGCCUGUUAGUGCUGUCUCAGGGACACAAGACCAACAUCUUGGACAUCAUCCAGAUACACAAGGAAGCUCUUACCAAAGUCACGGAGAGCAGGCAACAUGUGGCAGAAGGGAAUACAGAGGUGCAGAGGCUGAUGAUGUCAGAAUCACAGGAACAGGAUUUCUUUGGCUACUUUGGCUGAAAUUCACCACUUCCAUCCAAUUCCAGUGAGAGACAUGGACUCACAGAUGCAGCAUUUCUUGCAACAAGAGAUACUACUUUUUCAAAAAGUCACUGAGGAAUUGAUAGUGUUGAAUGACUCAAUACUCAAUCGUGGACUGUUUCCAGUUCAAGGAUACUUUCUACAGCAGAAUAAUAACACUAGCAAAGAGCUAGUACAAGGAUGGUUUUGUGCUCAACUGAAAUCCAGCUGAAUACAGAAUUGUAUAGGAAACAGUUAAUGUGGUGAUAGAAUAGAAACAGUAGCAAAUGUGAACUAAAUCAUGCUAUGAAUGCCUAAACUACUGCUGUAACUUUUGGAAAAAUGAUAAUACCACUUUAUUGCUUUUUGAAGAAUGAAUAUUUUAGUGUAUAUGCUCUAGACCUCAAACCCUAUAAAGAUUCUCAAAGAAGUUGGCUGGAUAAAGCCUACUGUGGAUGUCUUUAUAUUCAAAGAUUGAUGAUGCAAUUUGAAUAUGUGUCUCCUCCGAAUCUCAUGUUGAAUUAUAUUUCCUAAUGUGGAAGGUGGAUCCUGGAGUAAGGUAAUUGAAUUAUGAAGGCAAAUUUCUCAUGAAUGGUUCAGCACCAUCCCCUUGUACCGUCCUCACAAUAAUGAGUGACUUCUCAUGAGGUCUGGUCACUGAAAACUCUAUGUCACCUCCCUACUCUCCGUGUUUUCCCCUUGCCAUGUGAGACAACUAAUUCUUUCUUUGCCUUCCAUGAUUAUUGAAAGAUUUCUGAGGCCUCCUAGAAGCAGAAGCACUGUGCUUAGAACCAUGAGACAAUUAAACCUAUUUUUCAAAAUAAAUCAUACAGAAAAUGGCAAAUGAGGACUGGAGCACUGCUAUAAAGAUACCUGGAAAUGUGGAAGCAGCUUUGGAACCCGGUAAUGGACGGAGGUUGGAAGAGUUUGGAAGGCUCAAAAGAAGACAGAUAGAUGAGAAAACUUUUGGACCAUCUUAGAGUCUGGCUCAAUUGUUGUGACAAAAAUCCUGACAGAAACAUGGACAAUGAAGACCAGACUGAGGAGGUCUCAGAGAGAAAUAAGCUUUCUGGAAAAUGUCUUUAUUUUUGAUAUGGAAAGCUUACACAAUGCCUGUACCAUCAUUGUACCUUAGAAGCAGUGAACUUGCUUUUUUCAGAGACUCAUAGGCAAAAGAGACUGCAGCCUUGACCCAGAUGAGAUUUGGACUUUGUAACUUUGAGUUAAUCCUGAAAUGAGUUAAGACUUUGGGAGACUGCUGGCAAGGCAUGAUUGUAUUUUGCAAUGUGAGAAGGACAUGAGAUUCAUGGGGUCAGGGACAGAAUAAUACGGUUUUUCUCUAUGUCCCAACCAAAACUCAUAUGGAAUUAUAUUUUGUAAUGUUAGAGGCGGGGCCUAGGUGGAAAAAGAUUUAGUCAUAAAAUGGUGCAGGUAGAUACUUCACGAAUGAUAAAGGACCAUCACCUUGAUGCUAUCCUCCUGAUAGUGAGUGACUUCUCAUGAGAUCUGGUUGUUUAACAGGCUGUGGAACCUCUUUCCUCACUCUGUCUUCCUCCUACUCCUGCUUUAGGAGACAUCUCAUUGUCCCUUGGCUUUCUGAUAUAACGAGGAGUCUUCCUGAUUCCUCCCAGAAACAGAAGACACAAUGAUUCCUUCACAGCUUGCAGAAACAUGAGUCAAUUACACGUCUUUUAUUUACAAUAAUACAGAAAAUUAGAACUGCAGAGAGGAGCUGUGAAAUGUCUUCAAGGCCUUUUACCCUUUGUCUUGGCUAUUAGCAAAGGGCUUCUUUAUAUGCAAAUUUCUGAAAUCUUCUUGAAUGUUUCCCCUUAAAUGGGAUUUUUGUUAUUGCUACCUAGCCAACCUGCUAUACAGAUAGCUAAAAAAGUAGAAGCAGGCUCAAUAGUGGGUAGCAAACAAAGAUUGGAAGGGCUUGGAGGGAUUAGAGUACUAGAGGGAGUGGGAGGGAGUGAUUUAAUCAUGGAUGGGUGGGGGUGUAUGUGGAAGGGAAAAAGGGGUGGGUAGGGUGGGAGGGAGUAGACUGGCUGUAUGGUGGUGGGAAGGUGGUGGGUAGUAGGAAGGGGGAGUAGCCUGCUGCAGAGGCAGAGCCUCAUGGAAAAUGCCUACUGGGGAAGUGCACCUGUGGCUUUGCAGGUCUGAGCCCCCAUGGCUGCUCUCAUAGACUGGACUAGUGUUGAGUGCCUGUAGCUUUUCCACACGGAGGGUGCAAGCUGUUGGUGGGUCUAUGUAUCUGAGGUCUGGAGGGUGGUAGCAUGGGGGCUCCAAGUCCAUAUUUUCCUUCUGCACUGCCCUAGUAGAGGUUUCCCAAGAACUCUUCGUCUGCAGGAGGCUACUGCGUGGAAACAGUAGGAGGUGGGUGUGGGAGGCAGAUCCUUCACCAAUGGUUAGGCAACGUCUUCUUGAUGCUGUCCUCAUGAUAGUGUGUUCUCAUGAGAUCUGGUUAUAUAACAGGGGGUGGCAACUCUUUCCUCUCGCAGUCUUGCUUCUACUCCUGCCAUUUGAAAUAUCUCAUUGCCCCUUGGCCUUCUGGUAUGAUUGGGAGGCUUCCUGAUCUGAUCCUCCCAGAAGCAGAAGCCACUAUGCUUCCUUUACAGCCUGCUGUAUAGUGAGCCAAUUAAACCUCUUUUCUUUAUGAUCAUACAGAAAAUCAGUGCUAUGAAGUGGAGCCAUGAAAUGCCUUCAAGGCCCUUUCCCCUUUGUCUUGGCAACCAGCACUCAGCUUCUUUUCAUGCAAAUAUCUGAAGCCUUCGUGAAUUUUCCCCCGAAAAUGGACUUUUCUGUUUUACCACAUUGCCAGGCUCUGAUAAAGAUAGCUGACAAUGUAGAACCAGGUUCAGAAGUGAGUAAAAGACAGAGGUCAGAAGAAUUGGGAAAGCUUAGAAGACAGCAAGAUGAGGAAAAUAUUGGACCACUAUAGAGAAUUGUUAAAUACUUGUGAUUAGAAGGCUGACAAAAGUUUAAACACUGAAGUCCAGACUUAAAAGGUCUCAGAUGAAAAUGAGGAAUUUCCUAUUAAUAGAAGCCAAGAUUACAUUUGAUUGGCCUUAGCAAAGAAGCUGGCUGCACGGGGACCCUGCCCUGGAGAUCUGUGAAACUAGGAACUUGGGGGUGAUGAUUUAGGAUGUAUUUGGUGAAAUGAACAUCUAGGCAGCAUAACACAAGAGGUGACCUGUCCGCAUUGAACAGCCUGUGUUCUUAAGGGUGACCUAAGAAAUGACUUCAAGUUGGAACUUCAAGUGGAGAUCUAAAGUUUGGAAAAUUUGGAGCCUGGCCAAGUAGUCAAAAAGAAAAGCCGAUUUUGAGGGGGAAAAUUCAAGAAGGCUUAGGGUAUUUGCAUAAAAAGGAACCCAGUGCAAAUAGUCAAGACAGUUUGAAACCGGCCUUGAAGGUAUUUUAGAGAAGUCUGCAGCAGCCCUUGCUGUCACAGGCCCCGGGGCCUAGGAGAGAAGAAUGGUUUCCUACGCCAGUCCCAUGGCCCUGC